UGCUAGUCGUGCGAGUGUCAGACUCGCGGCGUAUAGCUCAGUAACACGUGGCCAAUCUACCCUACAGACAGGAAUACUCUCGGGAAACUGAGGCUAAUGCCUGAUACUCGCCUCCUGCUGGAAUGCGGAGGCGGCGAAACGUUCCGACGCUGUAGGAUGUGGCUGCGGCCGAUUAGGUAGACGGUGGGGUAACGGCCCACCGUGCCGAUAAUCGGUACGGGUUGUGAGAGCAAGAGCCCGGAGACGGAAUCUGAGACAAGAUUCCGGGCCCUACGGGGCGCAGCAGGCGCGAAACCUUUACACUGCACGCCAGUGCGAUAAGGGGACCCCGAGUGCGAGGGCAUAUCGUCCUCGCUUUUCUCGACUGUAGGGAGGUCGAGGAACAAGAGCUGGGCAAGACCGGUGCCAGCCGCCGCGGUAAUACCGGCAGCUCAAGUGAUGACCGAUUUUAUUGGGCCUAAAGCGUCCGUAGCCGGCCGCGUAAGUCCGUCGGGAAAUCCACUCGCUUAACGAGUGGGCGUCCGGCGGAAACUACGCGGCUUGGGACAGGAAGGCUCGAGGGGUACGUCCGGGGUAGGAGUGAAAUCCCGUAAUCCUGGACGGACCACCGAUGGCGAAAGCACCUCGAGAGGACUGAUCCGACGGUGAGGGACGAAAGCUGGGGUCUCGAACCGGAUUAGAUACCCGGGUAGUCCCAGCUGUAAACGAUGUUCGCUAGGUGUGACACUCACUACGAGUGAGUGUUGUGCCGUAGGGAAGCCGCUAAGCGAACCGCCUGGGAAGUACGUCCGCAAGGAUGAAACUUAAAGGAAUUGGCGGGGGAGCACUACAACCGGAGGAGCCUGCGGGUUUAAUUGGAGUCAACGCCGGGA
RNAcentral lists this ribosomal RNA (872 nucleotides) under uncultured archaeon. RNAcentral's name for it is "bacterial SSU rRNA". It matches the Rfam family "Archaeal small subunit ribosomal RNA", at positions 52 to 923 of the family's 1478-position model. The record is from RNAcentral.